UUUGAAAUGCAGAGAUUAAUUUCAAUAAUUAUAUGAAUUUUAUCUUGGCAAAUUUCAAAAAGUGUGGGAUAUAUGGAGAUUUUGUUUGUUAUAAUUACGUAAAAGCUAUUUAAAAAAUUUUUUCAUUGAAAAUGAUUUAUGUAUCAUACGUCCUUUUAUGUGAUUAUUAUAUGUCAUGUCCAUUUAUGUGAUGUGAUGAUUCUUUUGUAAGUGAAACAAAAAAAGUUGUACCUAUUUUAUUUUUAAAUUUAUGUUUUUAUUUAUACAUUUACAUUUCGCGGAAAAAUAACAUAAUUAUUGCGCGCGCCGGUAUCGAGCGCACGUUCGCAUGAUCGGUAGCAAGAGAUAGAAAAGGCUAUAUAUUGUUUUCUUCUACGCUAAACAUUCGAACAUCGAAGCAUCGGCCUGUUGAUUGUCGAGCGCAGUGGAACGCACAUGUUUGUACACGUUUGUGUAUUAUGCAGUCGGGUUUUCUUUUGUGUGUGCCUAGGCUAUCUUGCGAGUAUCGGCGCUUUGGUUAAUUGAAUUAUUAACCUUAUUUCCCAUUAUUGCCUUGAACGGAAAGCUGUUCUGUUCUGCAAAAAGAAGAAGAGUUAGGCUCGGGCUCGAUUUCAUCAUCAUCUCUCUCUCUCUCUCUCUACAGAAGGUGGGAAAAGCUAGUUUAUUAAGAUUUGUUUCGUGUUAUUAUUACAAAAUUAGGAGCAUUAGAAAACUAUGAAUAUACUUCUUCCAAUGGUGAAGCAACUUAUAGUACACUUCCGACUAUCGAAAGUAUCUCAUAUGGAAGGUGUUCCCAAACUUCCAGUUGACAGUGAUGAAAAUUUGGAAUUCGAAAGGUUUUUAGAUACUAAUACAAAUUUUGAGUACAUGGUUAAUACUUUAAGCAUAUCAGGUGGCACAACUGUUUCUCAGAUCAGUAGGACUCUGGAAAGAAUAAUUACAAAUAAUUAUGCUUGAAAUUUUAACGGCAGGAAGAACACCGAAGAAAUCUUUCAAGAUUCUUAAAAUAAAGGACUUAGUCAUAGCUAUUGUCAAGGCUAUUGAACCAAAUGCUGCAAUAUAUGAUGUAGAAAAGCCCAUAAAAGAUUGACUCAAAUUAGCACCUCUUCGUGUAACCUUAGCCGAUUCCAGGGCAUUGAAGACAAAUUCAAGAAAAGUAUAAUUUCUCAUCGUUUCAGUUUCGAUAUUAAUGUUUAUUUUGUAUUUACAUAUUUCUAUCCAUUCCAUUUCAAGAAUUUGAGAUUUAUUAUUUAGUAAUUUGCAGGACAAUUAGGAAUAUGUAUUAUCAUAGUAUUCUGCAAUGUACUCGCACUCGCCACUGAAACGUGUUCUCAUUGAAGCAUUAAAAUAAGUAUAUAUCUCUUUACCACCUAAUAAUGUAUCGCAAAGAUGACCGAUAAUAUAAAAGCACUGUUAGUUGUUUUGUUAUAAUGUUAUGCGUAAUACAAUUAUGUAAUUAAAAAUUAAAACCAAAAUUGAUAAAAACUUUUAGUUUAAAAACUUACAUUUAAAACUUAAAUUUAAAACUUAGUACAUAUAUGUAUACGCAAUGUGCAAUAUUAUAUACUUUUACACAUUUUUAGUUGGCGAUGUUCCUGAUACUUUGACGGUGGUAAAAAGAUAUAACAAAAAUUAUAUACUUUAAUACCAUAAAAAUAUCAGUAACAGUUUAGCAUUUUAUUUUAUAAUGUUUCAGUUUUAUAUUAUGUAUUAGUUUAAUAUUACAUUAACAUUUAGUUUAUUUUGUAGCUUGUGUGUGUAAUGCUUUUACAACUUUUAUAUGCGUUAAUUAAUUUUAUUUUAACGUUGUUAUUUACUCCUUAAACAUUAAGUAUCACAUUUAUUCUCAUUUAUAAUACUAAAAACAUCGUACUUUUAAGUUGUACCGACAUUUUCCUUAUAAAACAUAUACAAAAAAA
RNAcentral lists this long non-coding RNA (1919 nucleotides) under Ooceraea biroi (clonal raider ant). RNAcentral's name for it is "uncharacterized LOC113562769". The record is from RNAcentral. Lineage: Eukaryota; Metazoa; Arthropoda; Insecta; Hymenoptera; Formicidae.